This is a non-coding RNA of Nelumbo nucifera (sacred lotus), 4833 nucleotides long. Lineage: Eukaryota; Viridiplantae; Streptophyta; Magnoliopsida; Proteales; Nelumbonaceae. The record is from RefSeq and is a predicted model, not a curated record.
AGAUUAGUAAAAGUUUAUUCUGGAUUAACAGGAUUUUCAGUUGAUGUCGAAAUGGCUAGCUGGCUAAUGGCUACUGACUUUCAGUUCAGGCCGUUUAACAAGGUGCAGAAGCGGAAAUUGAUUCUAUUGCUUUGUCGUUUACUGAGCGUUGCGUCAAAAAUGGAAACGGAAGCCGAACCGUUUUCUUUCGGAUGACAUUUUGACGGUUCAACCGUCUGGGUCAAAUAGGUACAAAAGAAGAGCGUCUUCUUGAUGGAAGCCGGAAGAAGAGGGAAGAAGAGGGCUAGAGGGGGUUUCUACUUUCUAGCAGCACUCAGUCAUCCAGUGGAGAUCGGCGAGCCAGAACUAUUACAGUGCAAGAUUCAAGUGUCUGGUUUAUUUUAUUUUGUUUUGUUUGAAAGGAUAUUCUUUUCUGAAAAAUGAGCAAUGCAUGGUUUGGGGCUGUAUUACAGUGAAGUUCUAGUUUGUAUUCAAAGAGCUAUAUGUUCUUCAACGCUUUAGAUCAAAGAGGCAUUGGAAAUCUGACAAGCUUUAGAUUCUAAGAAGUUGUUCUAGGAAGAAAGUUUUCUUCUGCUUUGCUGAUCAGUACAGAGGACAAGUACACGAGAAAACUUUGUUUUCCUUGGCAUUUACAUGAAAACAAAUUAGAAAGGAGCAGAAAACAAAUUUUUUGCUGUAAGAGAGGCACCGAUGAUAGCUGAAAUAUUUCAGACUGAAUCUUUUCUGUCCAUUGGCGGAGAAACAAGCACAACUUAAAGACAAAUAAAGGGGAUGUGGAUCUGACUAGUCAAGUGACUCAAAUGACAAAUCUGAGCCUGUUAGCCGUCAUGGAUCAAUCUGUUUGUUUUGUCGUUCUCUAUAGGAUUUACCAGUCACAGUUGCAGGAAUUUACCAUCUCUCCUUGGUGGAAUAUAUGAAUGAUGGAUGCAGCCCAAUGCAUGUACUAAUUUCAUAUCCAGGCGGCUAGUAAACUGUUCUCGUGGUCAGCAUGACAGGUUCUUCAUAUCUUUUUAUGAAGUCCAGCAGUGUCGCCAUCAUCAUCUAAGCCUUGUUACAACUAUAUGGGGUCAGCUACCUGUAGAUGCUUUAGACUCAAAUUAUUCUUUUGUUGAUAAACUCACAGUUACAUGGCAUUUGGUCUUGCAUGCAUACUUCGUAACAUAUUUAGCGCCAGUAAAUUUUUGGGAGUUCAUAUGACUUAUUCUUGAAGGUCUUGGCUAUGAAAGGUGAUCUCUAUUUUCUUUAUCAUUUCUCCUUUCCAUCUGGAGACAGGCUUGGUCGAAUUAAUGGGUUCUGUGGAUAAGGCACUGCAGGUGCACACUAGGAGGCACACCUCCAAGCAAGGCACUAAGAAAAUGCUUGGAGGUGCACAGUAGAGGCGUGGAUACACUUGAGUCAUAUGCCCAGGCAUACACUUGAGCCGAAUGCCCUUAGUAUAUGCCUCUUAUGUUCUUACCUUUUAAGAUGGUUUUUUUAUGGUAAAAAUAUAAAAGUGGAGGAACCAUUUUGUUUGGUUACCUAUUGUAUAUUAGCACAAAGCAAAGGAUGAAAUUCCUCCAAAUUUGUAUAUUGCAAUGUUAUAAUAAAAUGUUAUAAAUAGAAGUAGAGGCACCACCAUAGCUUUGAUUUCUUUAAAUGCAUUGCAUUCAUCUAAAUAUGAGAUGACAAACUUGCUUAUGUUAAUGUUGUGUAAUUUAUGUGAAUUGUUAAUUCUGGAAUUAUGGUUUGCAGCUUUGCAAGUGAUAUAGUGAUGGCUGAUGAUAUUUUUAUAGUUAUGGAUGGUGAUACUUCAAUCCCAUGUUUUAAAUAUAAUGAUUUUAUUAUUAGAAAUUACAAAUAUGAAAAUUUUUAAUUUUUCUUAAAAUUUCCUGUUUUUAUAGGAUAUUUACUAUCGUCUUUAUUUAUUUUAUCUUAUUUCUAAUUAUUUAUUAAUUAAAACAUCCAUGCUUAGGAGGCUUAUGCUUCUUGCAUUCUGGUUUAUGCCUUAGGAUGGUUGAAUGCCCUGUACCCUGUAUCAUGUAUCCAUGUUUUAAAUCACUGUUUGUGGAAGUUCAUUCAGUAGUAUCAUCUAACACUGAUAUAUUAUUUUGCAGACAAUUAUUUAUUCAUUUAUUUUGUUUUGGCAUCACCAGAAAUGCAUUGGUUUUGUUUUAUGAUCAAUUGGAUCAAGUUCUUACCUUCUAUACCUUAUUAGUUUAAACUGGACACUGACACUUGCUAAUGUUGGUAUGUAGAGUUGUUAGAUUCAGCAGCUGAUAGAUACUUGACAUACUGGCAUGUCUAUAUAUGAUUAUAAAGUACACCAUUUAGAAGUAGUAUGUAAACAGUAUUCAAUGUCCUGUGUUGUGUGUUUUGACUUUGCAUAGUUUGUAGGCUAUGAAUCAAAAUCCCUAUCUCUGUUAAGAUGCCCAUGUGGUAAAGUGGACAUUUAGGAUCUUGGCAUGAAGGUUCCACUAACACCUUCGAGAAUCAAAUUCCUCUCAUGCAAUAGAACUUUUAAUUGUUCAAAAGCCCAAAGAUCAGCUUGGCUAUUCACCUAUUGUCCCACUUCAGGUUGCUCUGGUUCCUCUAACUAGUGAUUGUAAAAUAUGGUGUAAAUAUGUAUAGAGAUACAUCUUGAUUUUAAGGGGAAAUAUAGUACUAGAAAAUAACAUUUGUGCAGGAAUAGGUUCUUCUUCUCUUUGGCUGGAUAUUCCAAUUGAGGGGGAACUUCUUGGAUGGUCUACAGUUCAAGAGCCAGAGUGAUCAGACAAUUCUAGCUGUCCGACCUUUAGAUGGUCAAUAAAAUGUAUGCAACUGCAUACUAGUCACAAAAUCUUUAACCCUCGUAUUGGAAGCUAUAUUAUGUGGUUGAGCUAGAUCCCAAUUAUGCACUGCUACCAUGCUUAUGUUUAAGAGUCACUUUUGAACUCCUAAUAUUUCUAAGAUGUAUAUAACUAUAUUUUAUGAAUUCCCACUUAAUUGAAUUGAACUUCCACUCUUCAUGCUAUGAUCCAUACAAGAGAGGGCCUUUCUUAUACAACAUGAUCGGUCAAUGUUUUAUGGGGAGGCAAGACCUCAUCACGUGUGGCAUGACUUUUUUAUUGGUUAAUUGUAAUGUUGUAACAUGGAUGUUUAUGUUUAUUACCACCAGUGAUUUUAAAUCUUCAUACUUAAAAUUGUGAGAGGAUCUGGAAAGGACAAUUGAAUCAUAUCCACACUUGAGAGCUGAGUGUCAACCUAAAGAAGAUGGACCAUCUAAUGUUCUCAUAUAUCUUGGAAGCGGAAAGGGUAUGCAUCCUUUUUAAAUCAAAAAUGUUGUCCUGACCACAUAGUUCUGUCCAUCAGUAGAAGUUGUGGUACCAACUGAACUGUUAUGUUAUCUCCCUUUUGGCUGCUAGAUACUAAGAUUAUGUAGAUUAUGAUCACAAUCAAUGAUUUAAGCACCAAUAAUUUAACAAUGGAUAUGGCACAAACACUAAGAAAUGGUGAAAUAGGAUUCAUGUAGCUGACCCUAUAUAGUUGGGAUAAACAUUGAUGAGUUAAGCACCAAUGAUAAUGAUGAUGAAUGGUCACAGCCAGUAAAUUAAGAGGCACUAACUUUUGGGGCUAAAAGUUAGAUUUGGUUGUUUGAAAAAUUUUCCAAUAACCAACUUAGGAUCAUCCAAUGGGGUAUAUCUUGGAAAAUGGCCCUUUAACCAAAAAAAAAACUAGGGAAAGGCCCAUUUUUUCAGGGAUGAACUUCACAUUCUGUUGGUAAAGGUAGUCUGAAUCUGCUUCUAUUUUGCAUAAUUUAUUAAUGUUCCUAGUGCUAACAACGUUUUGCAGUUCCCAACACACUCCUGUGGAAAAAAAAAAGCAGAUGCUAACUAAAAGAAAAGAAAACAAAAAAGACUUCAUUGAUUGUAUACCUCUGACUUUUUGCUUACUCACUGGUCAUUGUUCAAGAAUUAGCCAGUUAUUGAUGUAAACUCUGUAUUUUAUCUAUCAAAAAAAAUUUUGAUGUAGACUCUGUAGUCAUUGUCCUAAUUCUUGGGUUGGUUCCGUAGCCAACCCUCAAAUGAAACUGGUCAGUGACUUGGAGUUUUAAUCAUAAGAUGGCCACCAUAAGCACCACCUCUCUGCUAAGAGCAAGAACUCUGUUGGUUCAGAUUGGGCUAUAUAUACAAUUGAUAAAUCCUACAUUGUAUUUUCACUUUUCUGAAGAGACAUCAAAAGGGUUGCUCUUUUGGCUGUGUCCACAUGGAACUCUGCAAUUAAAAUUCUAAAAUCCCUUUGCAAGGGAAAGAACUGGAAACUGUUGUUCAAGGUAUAUACCCAUCAUCUCUCUACUCUCAUUUCAUUUCAUAUGUAUCUUACUAUUUUUAUGCUUUUUUUAUUUUCUAAGUUUUAACUUGUUAACAGUACUCUCUUUUUACUGUCUGAACUAGAUAGAAACAACUUAAUCUAGACAAGGAAUGACUUUCAGAUGUAUAUACACUGCAGGGAGUGCAUCUGCCUGAAAUGCAACUUAGGUAAUUUAGAAUGUUAGAAGAGUAUCUCAAGUUUCUCAAAUUGUAACUGAGGGGGAAUCACACUGGUUAUUACUAUGUACAGCACCACAGCUUGUGUGCAUAUGGAGCUUAAUAGUAGACUUUGUUCUGGAACGUUAGACACAAUACACAUCUCCAGUUAUUCGGUUAUCAUGUUUGCCAUCCAGGACCUAUCUGGUUCCAUCAAAAGGACCUAUUUAGAGGUGGUAUAGUUCUCACUGAUUGUUUUUGCUGUAUACUGAUGUUUCUUUACUGUUGAAAUAAAUUUAUUCUCAGCUUACUUGGAACCACUUCAGAGAAUAUUCAUUACAAGUUUGUACCA